Long non-coding RNA from Carassius gibelio (silver crucian carp), 1857 nucleotides. RefSeq lists it as uncharacterized. The transcript has 2 exons. The record is from RefSeq and is a predicted model, not a curated record. Lineage: Eukaryota; Metazoa; Chordata; Actinopteri; Cypriniformes; Cyprinidae.
ACUUUCAAAACUGGUUGUAUGCAGUUUCUUGUCUUCUGAACGGUUUUUACUUCUUCCUCUCUGAAAAGACACAUUUGUGAAACAACAAUACAGUCCAUUGAACACACUGUACAUCAGUCACUCACAGACUCAUUUUUAUUAUUUGUGUCAAAAAUAGACAUACAUAUAGACUAUAUAGAGAGAUAAAUACAUUGGCCACUCGACGGCACGUCAACGUCGCCGCCAUAUUGGAGCGGGCAACUCUCAUAACUCUCACAUCAGGACAGAAGAAAACGUACCUGACUCAUCAUCGACAAAUUGGACACCUACAAACCGUCUCACGAUAAUAAAAACAGAUCUCGGGGUGUUAUCUUUCACAGCCAUUUGCAAACAGGACAAGGACAGCCUUAAGGAAAGCUGUUCUCUGCAUUUCCAAGAGACAAGACUAUACCUCCCUAGACUAAUGUUGUGUUUGCACUAAACCCAGAGCAGCCCUGAAUGAAUCGACAGAAUGACCCGGCUCAUAUUCUAAAGCGAUUAAUCGUUUGAAAGCAUUAUUUAUACCAGAAAACAAGACAGAAAUACUAAGGAAGAAAAUCUCUGCAUUAAUCACUUAAACGUUUGAUUCUGAUUCAUUCAGACAUUUCUAGUAAUGUUGAUACAAAUGCUAAUACUGCACUCAUGUUUAUAAUAAAAGAUGACAUAAUCAUUCAUAAAAAAAAAACUUAAACCCAGCAAAGAAAUAAUGGAUGUUGCAUUAAGUAAUUUAUUUUCUCAUUACAUACAGUCAAGUAUAUUACAGAUCUCUUCAUACUUGAUAUAAAAUUAGAUUCAUUGGCGUAUAUUUUCAGAUUUGAGAGGUUAAGGGCAGAGAGCAUGAUCACUAUACAGCGGAUUCCUCACUGCUUCCUCACAUCACCAAUAAUCUGGGGAAGAAAAAAUUAUUACAGUCCGUAUUCCAGUGCUAAUAUAUGAACAUCGUGAAACCAAGACAUUUGCAGGAGAUGCAUAAUGACCUAAGAUAUUAAUUAUUAUUAUCUACUCAAUAUAUUCAUUUUUAGAUUUUUAUUGGUUAAUUCUUAAAACGGGGGAAAAAAAUUCUGCCAAAGAUGAAAACUAUUGUUUUUCUUAGCCGCUGACAGAUAUUUGUUCUUGUUUUAAAUAUUAACUCAUUUAUAUUUCAGUAAAUGCUUCUCGAUUUAAGGAUGUUCAGAUAUUUGAGCUGGAAAACAAGAGCAAGAGCAUCUUUCUCUGCGGUGAAGAAGAACACCAUGACGCCACCAUUCGACUCGGACACAAAUUAAAAUCUCUCGUGUUUGUGUCCGAGUCAAGCGUUGGUGGGUAAAAGAAAGGAGUAAAAAAUAAACCCUGGACAAUCUUCCUAAAACAUACGUUUUCAGGAUCCUCGAUGAUUAUACGCUUUAUCUUUAUCACAGUAUUAUUUCAUCAAGCCUUGUGUUCAACUCCAUAUUUAUACUGAAAAUAAAAGUAGCUAUGAUCUUAUUCUAGUUAGCGGCUCUGAAAUCGAGUGAAAGCUGAUUGGUUGAUUCACAAAUGUCUUCACACACAAAAAGUGCUUCAUAUUCAAACACAGUUUAGAUUAACACUCAUAUAACUGUAUUGUCUGUGUGAGAGGAAUCAAACAAUCAUAUCCUGUGAUCGUUUACUCUUCCUCAGCCUGAACAAGUGUGUUUUUUUCUGCUGAACACUAAAGAAGAUGUUUUUUUGAGUGCGAACAGUUGACGGCACCCAUUGACUUCUAUAAUAGAGGAAAAAUACUAUGGAAGUGAAUGGGUACCAUCAACCGUUUGGUGUUUAAAGCAUCAUCUUUUUAGCAUUCAGCAGAAGACAGAAACUCGUACAAAAAAUAUAUAAUUU